Molecule: ribosomal RNA, 265 nt
Filed under: uncultured bacterium
Lineage: Bacteria
Description: partial 16S ribosomal RNA
Rfam family: Bacterial large subunit ribosomal RNA
Source: RNAcentral
GGAGCAAGGGCGAAGAGUAAGCGUUCAAGUGACAAAGGGCAGACGGGGAAUGCCUAGGCAGCAGAAGGCGAAGAAGGACGUGGCGAGCUGCGAAAAGCUUCGGGGAGCCGCUCACAGGCGUUGAUCCGGAGGAAUCCGAAUGGGGGAACCCCACUGGGGGAAUGCCCAGUGAGCCUUGCCUGAAUUCAUAGGGCAAGGCGGCAAACCCGGGGAAGUGAAACAUCUCAGUACCCGGAGGAAAAGAAAUCAAACGAGAUUCCCCAAG